UUACCCGGAGAGACAGCAGAAUGAAGGUCAAGCUGAAGACUUUACCAGACAAGCUGAGAGGUGGUGCAUGGCCGUCGCCAGCUCGUGCCGUGAGAUGUCCUGUUAAGUCAGGUAACGAGCGAGAUCCCUGCCUCUAGUUGCCACCAUUACUCUCAGGAGUAGUGGGGCGAAUUAGCGGGACCGCCGCAGUUAAUGCGGAGGAAGGAAGGGGCCACGGCAGGUCAGUAUGCCCCGAAACUCUGGGGCCACACGCGGGCUGCAAUGGUAGCGACAAUUGGUUUCGAAUCCGAAAGGAUGAGGUAAUCCACAAACGCUACCACAGUUAUGACUGAGGGCUGCAACUCGCCCUCACGAAUAUGGAAUCCCUAGUAACUGCGUGUCAUUAUCGCGCGGUGAAUACGUCCCUGCUCCUUGCACACACCGCCCGUCGUUUCAUUGAAGUGAGCUUUUAGCGAGGUGACGUCUAAUUGGCGUUAUCGAACUUGAGGUUCGUGACAAGGGAAAAGUCGUAACAAGGU
Molecule: ribosomal RNA, 518 nt
Filed under: uncultured archaeon
Lineage: Archaea
Description: bacterial SSU rRNA
Rfam family: Archaeal small subunit ribosomal RNA
Source: RNAcentral